CAUGGGGGUCACCGUGGACGUGCACCAGGUGUUCCAGUACCCCUUCGAGCAGGUGGUCGCUUGCUUCCUCCGAAAGGGAAUUAGAAUAAUGGAGAUGCUGCUGAAGGAACAGUGUGGUUCCCCCUUAGUGGAAUAAAAAAUCAUCAGGAAGCUGCCACUGUGUCUACUCUUCCUUGAGACUUACUUCUUGGCCACAACAUCAUAGGCACACUUACCGGAUGCUGGUUCCAGGACAGAGUCAGUGGCUUAGAGAAGAGGGGACCUUCCUGCUAGAGUACAGACUUGUCACUCCCCUUUGGGGCCUGCUUCAAAUCAUGGGACUCACAGAGAUGAGACUUUGCAGCUGGAGUUUUAUGACAUGGUCUCUUUACAAUCUCAUGAAUAAAGGGAAAAACCU
RNAcentral lists this long non-coding RNA (397 nucleotides) under Rattus norvegicus (Norway rat). RNAcentral's name for it is "long non-coding RNA NONRATT013795". The record is from RNAcentral. Lineage: Eukaryota; Metazoa; Chordata; Mammalia; Rodentia; Muridae.